AAGUAAGAACUUAAAGCUGAGUCUGGCUUAAAACAGAAUUCCUGAAGUUCUCUUCAUUAAGUGUGCAAACGUGACAGACACAUUAACCACCUCAAUUCAUGAAUAUCUGGGGGUUUUGUCCCAUGGUUUGACAAAUGUGUUUCUAUUUUCUCUUCUAGCACAGAAGAGAAGAAAAUUCUAAAACUGUAAUAUUUGAAAUGCUUUCUUAGAGAUCAAGUACAACUGGCAGGUCCAUUUGCGAUGCACUAGGCAAUUGAUAGCACCAUUUUAUGAUGCUUGGUCCACACUAGUACAGACGAUUUAUCCCAGUUAUUGAUGAUAUAAAUGUACGCAGCUGAUAAAACACAUAUUGGAAAGAAUAGCAGUCAAUAGGUCUGUUGAGUAUCAGCUUUAAAAAAACCUUUAGAAAAAGUCAUGUUUAUAUUAUUUAAUGUUAAGUCCUUUCUGGUUCUGACAUUAUGCCCUCCCCCCAUCAUAAAAGGCAAGAUUUUUUUUAAUGAAAAACUGAUAUUGUCUAUUGACGCACAACCAAUAGUCACUCAAUAAGUAGGAACUGCCAGUUAAAGCAUAACCAUUCUGAACAACCUUAACAUCCACUGUCAAGGAAAUAUAAUAUGUGAGCAAGGCAGGCAUGGAAAAGAAGUUUCAUUAAUUACUGGACUGUAAAUAUUUACUGAGGAAAGGAACAGAUUUACCUCAUGGAGAAACCAGUCCAGUAAAAACCAUUUCACUCAAACACUACUUCAUCUUGUUUAUAAAUAAAAUUUUAACUAUUAAUGACUUUGACAAUAUGAUUGAAAAUUUAAAGUAUAUAUAAAACUGUGCACCAGUAAUCAACAUAUAUUUUCACCAUUUAAUUUUUUUAAGACAAUGGCUUUGACAGUUUUUUUGUAAUAAUUACAGUUACCUUUUUGAACCACCACGAUGUGUAGAAUUGUGUUCUAGAGGUGUAUUGAUACUCAGUUUUAACAGACUUCAGACAUUUAAUUCAAUACAAGCUCACAAC
Molecule: non-coding RNA, 1006 nt
Organism: Notechis scutatus (mainland tiger snake)
Lineage: Eukaryota; Metazoa; Chordata; Lepidosauria; Squamata; Elapidae
Source: RefSeq, a predicted model, not a curated record